CAGUAGCCGCGGUAAUUCGUAGGGUGCAAGCGUUAAUCGGAAUUACUGGGCGUAAAGCGUGCGCAGGCGGUCCGCUAAGACAGAUGUGAAAUCCCCGGGCUUAACCUGGGAACUGCAUUUGUGACUGGCGGGCUAGAGUAUGGCAGAGGGGGGUAGAAUUCCACGUGUAGCAGUGAAAUGCGUAGAGAUGUGGAGGAAUACCGAUGGCGAAGGCAGCCCCCUGGGCCAAUACUGACGCUCAUGCACGAAAGCGUGGGGAGCAAACAGGAUUAGAUACCCGCGUAGUCCCUGUCUCUUAUAC
RNAcentral lists this ribosomal RNA (301 nucleotides) under uncultured bacterium. RNAcentral's name for it is "partial 16S ribosomal RNA". It matches the Rfam family "Bacterial small subunit ribosomal RNA", at positions 509 to 807 of the family's 1533-position model. The record is from RNAcentral.